RNAcentral lists this long non-coding RNA (5076 nucleotides) under Daucus carota (carrot). RNAcentral's name for it is "long non-coding RNA (DCAR_LNC002161)". Lineage: Eukaryota; Viridiplantae; Streptophyta; Magnoliopsida; Apiales; Apiaceae. The record is from RNAcentral.
GAGAAGAGGAGGAUGAUGAAGAGGGGUGGAGAUGUCUGGAGAGCACUUGGGCACGGAGAGCAACGCGCUCUGUUGAAGAAGAAGAAGACGACAUGGUUGACCGGUGAGUUAGAAUUAGGUCGAUAGAUUUGGGAAGAAGGAACAGACUACAAGGAACAGGGAGAUUGUGUAUUUAUACGCGCUACUUCCUACAUUUAUUAUUACAACAAUAUAGCGGUCAAUAAAUUGAAAACGUAACGGAACAAGAAUACUGCCAGACCUCAUCAUCAGCAUAUCAACAUCUCUGGGGGACUGUGCCACUGCGUUUAUCCUCUCAUUCGGUUUUAUUUUAUUUAUAUUGUUUUGUUUUAUUAUAAGAAGAAGAUUACAUUCACGGUCGGGGGAUCUAGUAAAGGGCACGGGGGGACACGUGUCCCCCCUAAGUAAAAAAAAAAUAAAAAUUACCGCCGUGAUUUCGGGAAAAAAAUAUAAGUGUCCCCCUAAAAAAUUUGAAAAUUUAGGGGUGUCCCCGCGAAUCUUUAAAAGUUCAAGUAAGUUGCAGUGGUUUAAUAAAAUUAAAGGAACUAAAAGGUAAUUUGUACACAUAUAUUUAUAUUAAAAAUAUGAAUAGAUAUAAUUUAAAAACAAAGAAAUAGUUUAUUCAUAUGUUUUAGUCUCUGCGGUCUGUUCUCUCGAGCUUGUGCCUGGCUACCCACUGCCCAGUAAGUACUCACCUUUUUAUUAAUCCAAUUUACCCACCUAUCAAAUACAAACCGAAUACAAUCACUGAAUCAUCUAUCAGCUACUAGUUAAUUAGAUAUGGGCUUGAGGCUUCUGAUGUGGAGCGCUGCGUUUUCUGUUCUUACCUGUCCGAACUCCGCCUAAUCCAUGGAUGUUUCUUCUUCUGCAGAGUAAUUCCGGAAUCUAAAGAUUAAACAAAGUAUGUUUAUAUUGUCAUUGUGUGUCUAAUUUAUAGAUAUCUGUUGUGUACUUCUGUUUAUGCUUUAAAUUCAAAUUAUUAGGUCAUGGGUAGCAGCAGGCUAACAGAGUAGCAGGCAGCAGCUGAAAAGGGGGAAUUCUCAAUUCUGUGAUUACAAAAUUAAGGUGUGUUUAUUUUUCCCCUACUGUAACUUUGUAAGCUUUUGAUUAUCGUUAGUUGAUACUUAAAAUGUCAACCCUAUAUUUGUUAAACAGUUAAUCAAUUAUGCAUCGAUUCUAUAAAAAACUCCGAACAUCUCCCCCCUCAUCUCCAACACCUCCCCAGCCAAUUGUAAAUGAGUGAUCUUUUGGAUUUUAUUCAAUGUUAUGAAUUUGUGUUCUUAUUGCAUUUAAUGAAGACUGUAUUGGGGAUCACUAACGAGUUAUCACAAGCAUUGCAGAGGAAAGAUCAAGAUCUUGUAAACGCCAUGGAUCUUGUUAAAUCAUGUAAAAGAAGAUUUCAACACACGAGGGAUAAUGGUUGGCAAUCUCUGCUUGAAGAAAUAUGUGUUUUUUGUGAAAAGAAUUCAGUAAGUAUCCCAAAUAUGGAAGAUGUGUUUGUAGCUCGAGGAAGAUCAAGACGUGGAGUACAAGAAUUCACAAAUCUGCAUCAUUUUCAGAAUGAUUUAUUUUAUACUAUCAUAGAUGAUCAAAUGGGAGAGUUAAAUAGUCGAUUCAAUGAAGUGAACACAGAAUUGCUUUUGUGUAUGGCUUGCCUCAAUCCAUCUGAUUCUUUUUCUGCCAUGAAAAUCAUCAAAAGUACGUUGCGCAACCGAAUGGGAGACGAGUGGAUGAAUGAUUGUUUAGUAACUUAUGUUGAAAGAGAGAUGUUUGAGACUAUCUCAACAGAUAAUAUAAUCAAGCAAUUUCAGAAAAUGAAGUCUAGGAGAAUCUGCCUAUAAUUGUGUAUAUACCAUGCCAGGUUUUAAUAAACAUGUCUACUCUCUAGUAUGUUUCUGUAUAUAUGUGUAUAGCUAUGUAAUUUUUAUUUAAUUAAUGCUAAGAGUGCUUAUGUGUGUGAUUUCAGGGGCAAGAGUUGUUGGCAGACACUCAUUUUUGUCGCAAAAUACUAUACUUUUGGCUUUGCUGUGACUUGUGAGACUGUGGUUGCUGCCUUGCUGGUUCUUGACUAUAGCAUGCAGGUACAUUUAUUAAUCUGUUAUGACUUAUGAGUUAAGAAAAUAUUUUGGUGUCCCCUCUAAGAUUAGAUCCUAGAUCCGCCCCUGUUCACGAUGUCAAUAGAUUGAAUCGAAAUUUAAUACUCUGUUUGUCUUUUAGUAUUAGGUUUUAUUUUAAUAUGUCGAGAUUGUUCUUAAUAUGGGACAAAUUACUAACUUAUGUUGAAUCUAUAAGAUUAUAAAUACUAACUUUUAACCCGUGCAAAGCACGGGCGAAUAUAUAAUUCAUAAUUUAUUAUUUAUAAAUUUAUAUUUUAAUAUCAUUUUAUUAUUAUUUUAAUAUUAAUGGAUGGAAUUUUAAUUAAAAUAUAUUAUUCAACUGACUAUAUUUUCUCCCGAUUACUUGAAAAUACCCUUAUAUAUAUAUAUAUAUAUAUAUAUAUAUAUAUAUUUCACCUUAAGUUUUAGUUUAGAGGAUGUUUAAAUUGAUGUGAUACACUCCAAAUAUAUUUGUAGUUGACUGGAGGAAAGAUUGGUGAUAGGCUUUUGGCUGAAGCAGAGACAAAUCUUGCUAUAAAUAUAAUUUUUUAGUUUGAUCCUAUAUAAUAUCUUUGAUUAUCCAAAUUUUGAUAUAAUCUAUCAUUUAUAAGUUGUCUUGCACAUAAUUGUCAAUUAAUCAUUAAUAUGUUUCAAUUUUAACAAGUAUUAAGAUUAUUUUCUGCUUAUUAGUUAUAUUGCAGAACAUAGAAUCCUAUGAUUUAUAAAAGUAAUUAUUCUACCAUUCGAUCACGAUGUUUAUGUUGCAGAACAUAAUAUGCAGGUUGUCAAAUAUUUACAAAUAUUACUGGACAAAAAAAAUUGAAAUUUAGAUGACUAGAUUACAUUUUAUCAAACUUUGUACUCCAAUACUCCAAUUUUUUUUGUACUCCAUAGAACUUAAGUAUCAUGAUCAAAUAGAAACCAAUCUUAAAAUAAAAACUAAAAACCAAUNACCAAACAUAGACGAUCAUGUAAUACCUUUGAAAGAUUCGAUUCAGUAUUCUAAUCAAUCGAAUUUUAACGUAAUUUUGUAAUCUUGAUUUUUUUGACAACAAAAACUUUCAAGAUUAAAGUUAGAAAGGGUUAUGUAAUGAUUCGUGUUUAGAUUCACGUUUUCGAUUCAGAUGGUGGUGAUAGUGGUGGAAAUGGUGGAGGUGAAGGUGGAGAUGAAGGAAAGAUGAUUAUAGCGGAGGUUUAGGCGGCUUGAAGUAGGGGGUUGGAGCGUUGCCGGAAUAGUGGCGGCGACAACAAAAACUUUCAAGAUUAAAGUUAGAAAGGGUUAUGUAAUGAUUCGUGUUUAUAUUGAAAUAGAACACGUUAUAUUUAAAAAAAGUUAUAUAAAGGUUCUUGUUAAAUAAAGAUAUUCAAAUUAUAUAUUUAUAAUUUUAUUUAUAAUAUCAUUAUAAUUUUUUAAACUGUUUAACAAUGCAAGACUAAUAGAUAGACUCCACAUUUGUAGACUUGUAGUACCAAAAGGAGAGUACCAAACCAAAAAAUAUAACUAAAAUUUUAGACUACAAAUUAUACCCAUGUUGGCUUAUUAUAGUAUAGUAUAGAUUGUCAGUGAUCUUUUUGGAUACGUAUGCAUGAGUACUUUACUAUGAAUUUUUUUCAAAUUUAACAAUAAUAUGAAAUUAAAGAUAUUAACGAAUAAAAAUGUGUGUUUGACAAACAUGAUCCUAAGUUUUACUCUUUCAUUUGUAAUUUAGAAAAACAGAGGAAAAGACUGGCCAAAUUAUUGCUAUUUUGAAAAACAAGCCAACAAUUUGUGAAAAUCUUAAAACUUUAGCCACCACCCUAAGUUUUACUCUUUCAUUUGUAAUUUAAUUUUAGAGAAACAUUUGAAUCUAGUCUUUAUUGGUCGAUCUUUCUUUUCUGGAAAAAACAUAUUUGCAAAACCUUAAUACAUACCAGGGCCCUGCUUUGGAGCCUAUCAAUUACAUAAGCAAUUUGUGUUGCAGUCUUGCUUAUGGGUCUAAUAUUUCUACAAGUAGUGAUUUUAACCAAUGUAGGAAUGAUUACUGCUUAGUGAAAUAUUUUAGUCUCAAGUCUUCCCCGUAAACUCUUACAUUACUAAUCCUCCUUGUCUUUUUCGUGAUAAUUGUUAAUGUUGUGGUAGGCAGAACUGCAAAACGAUGUGUGAUCUUGGCAGCACCCAAGACAAGCUAGCAUUAGAAAGUAGGCGUAUGUAAUAUCUAUCUAGCAUGAUCGAUGAAUUUGUAAUCGGUACGAAAAGAUAAACAUACCAAAGAAAGAAGUGAACUCCAAUUUUAAUAGAAAGAGAGUGAUCAAAGGAAUCAGCCACCUCCUGGAGAGCAAAGCGUCUAAGCUGAGACGGAGGCGAAGAAUACGUCAGAUAGCCCUUAAACACCCCGCACUCAGCCAAAUACUCAAUUCUCUUCAUCGUCAUCACUCUCUGCUGCUCCUUGGAUUGAUUAUAAUCCGGGCCCACAAACACCUUCCCUCCUCUGUCUCUGGGAUUAAACAAGUUGCUUUGAAUGAUGAGGCCGUAGAGCCAGUCUCGGUCCUCUAAAUUGUGAUCGUCCAUCAGCUUCCGCAUCGCUUUCGUGUCGAAAGCGAUGCUUUCGUGUCCAUCGCUUUCGUGUCGAAAGCGAUGCUUUCGCUUCCGCAUCGCUUUCGUGUCCAUCGCUUUCGUGGAUGGAGGGUAUUCCAGACAGGCACGGGGUUCUAGAAGACAUGGAGAAGAGGAGGAGGAUGGAGAUGGAUGGAGAUGUCUGGAGAGCACUUGGGCACGGAAAGCAACGCGCUCUGUUGAAGAAGUAGAAGAAGAAGACAUGGUUGACUGACCGGUGAGUUAGAAUUAGGUCGGUAGAUUUGGGAAGAAGGAACAGAGGACUACAAGGAACAGGGAGAUUGUAUAUACGCGCGUCUUCCGGCAUUUAUUAUUACAACAAUAUAGCGGUGAAGAAAUUGAAAACGUGACGGAACAGGGAGACUGCCA